GCUACAAUAGCAAUUGUCAUUCCUUGAAUCCUCACGAAAACUACUGUAUGUUGAGCAUAUAUUUUUGAAUUAGCCUUGAUAAUAAAAAAUUAACUUCAUAUAUCAUUUUUCUCACACCAGGGGAAAAGUUAGCUACAUAUCUGCCCUACUCAAAUGUCUUGAAAAGGUAGUACUAUAAUAUUAGAUAAUUUUAUUUGAAAUAUUGUUUUAAUAAAAAUAACAUUCCUCUCCAUAAUGAAGCUAAAUGUCACCUAGAAGAAAACUUUAUUCCCUUACACUCACAAAAAGGAAUUAGAAUUAAACUUUUAAGUUGAAUAAAUUUUAAAAUUACUUCCUAUUUAAAGUAAUUUUUUCAUAAAGUCAUUUCUCUUUAUCAUUUCAGAAAAUCCACAACUUCCCACGUUAGGUGUGAUUAAAGGGGUUGACACCAAUGGACAAAGGACAAAGUCCAUCUCUACUUUAACCAUCUGAUGCUCCCAAGUGCCCGAAAUGGAAAACUGCAAUAGAUUAAUAAAGUGAAGAACCAUGAGAACCA
Molecule: long non-coding RNA, 535 nt
Filed under: Sus scrofa (pig)
Lineage: Eukaryota; Metazoa; Chordata; Mammalia; Artiodactyla; Suidae
Description: lncRNA (ENSSSCG00035061243.1)
Source: RNAcentral